CCCAGACAGCCAGGAUGUUGGCUUAGAAGCAGCCAUCAUUUAAAGAAAGCGUAAUAGCUCACUGGUCGAGUCGGCCUGCGCGGAAGAUGUAACGGGGCUAAACCAUGCACCGAAGCUGCGGCAGCGACACUGUGUGUUGUUGGGUAGGGGAGCGUUCUGUAAGCCUGUGAAGGUGGCCUGUGAGGGUUGCUGGAGGUAUCAGAAGUGCGAAUGCUGACAUAAGUAACGAUAAAGCGGGUGAAAAGCCCGCUCGCCGGAAGACCAAGGGUUCCUGUCCAACGUUAAUCGGGGCAGGGUGAGUCGACCCCUAAGGCGAGGCCGAAAGGCGUAGUCGAUGGGAAACGGGUUAAUAUUCCCGUACUUGGUGUUACUGCGAAGGGGGGACGGAGAAGGCUAUGUUGGCCGGGCGACGGUUGUCCCGGUUUAAGCGUGUAGGUGUGUGUUCCAGGUAAAUCCGGUUCACUUUAACACUGAGGCGUGACGACGAGGCACUACGGUGCUGAAGCAACAAAUGCCCUGCUUCCAGGAAAAGCCUCUAAGCAUCAGGUAACAUCAAAUCGUACCCCAAACCGACACAGGUGGUCAGGUAGAGAAUACCAAGGCGCUUGAGAGAACUCGGGUGAAGGAACUAGGCAAAAUGGUGCCGUAACUUCGGGAGAAGGCACGCUGACACGUAGGUGAAGUGAUUUACUCA
This 694-nucleotide ribosomal RNA is filed under the name Salmonella sp. 32020501-2019-00050. RNAcentral describes it as "partial 23S ribosomal RNA". It matches the Rfam family "Bacterial large subunit ribosomal RNA", at positions 1084 to 1772 of the family's 2925-position model. The record is from RNAcentral. Lineage: Bacteria; Pseudomonadati; Pseudomonadota; Gammaproteobacteria; Enterobacterales; Enterobacteriaceae.